RNAcentral lists this ribosomal RNA (468 nucleotides) under uncultured bacterium. RNAcentral describes it as "SSU rRNA". It matches the Rfam family "Bacterial small subunit ribosomal RNA", at positions 26 to 518 of the family's 1533-position model. The record is from RNAcentral.
AGGACGAACGCUUGCGACGUGCCUAAGAAAUGCAAGUCGAACGGACAGUAGCAAUACUGUUAGUGGCGAACGGUCGCGUAACACGUGGGCAACCUGCCCCGAAGCGGGGGACAACAAUUCGAAAGGAUUGCUAAAUACCGCAUGUGAAUCGUAGUGGCAUCACUAAGGAUUCAAAGCCGCAAGGCACUUCGGGAUGGGCCCGCGGCCUAUCAGCUAGUUGGAGAGGUAACGGCUCACCAAGGCUUCGACGGGUAGCUGGUCUGAGAGGACGAUCAGCCGGAUUGGGACUGAGAUACGGCCCAGACUCUACGGGGGCAGCAAUUAGGAAUCUUGCGCAAUGGGCGAAAGCCUGACGCAGCGACGUCGCGUGAAGGAUGAAAUCUUUCGGGAUGUAAACUUCUUUUACCAGGUAAGAAUUUUGACGGUUACCUGGUGAAUAAGCCCGGCUAACUACGUGCCAGCAGCCGC